AGUCGAGCGGGGAAGGUAGCUUGCUACCUGACCUAGCGGCGGACGGGUGAGUAAUGCUUAGGAAUCUGCCUAUUAGUGGGGGACAACAUUCCGAAAGGAAUGCUAAUACCGCAUACGCCCUACGGGGGAAAGCAGGGGAUCUUCGGACCUUGCGCUAAUAGAUGAGCCUAAGUCAGAUUAGCUAGUUGGUGGGGUAAAGGCCUACCAAGGCGACGAUCUGUAGCGGGUCUGAGAGGAUGAUCCGCCACACUGGGACUGAGACACGGCCCAGACUCCUACGGGAGGCAGCAGUGGGGAAUAUUGGACAAUGGGCGAAAGCCUGAUCCAGCCAUGCCGCGUGUGUGAAGAAGGCCUUUUGGUUGUAAAGCACUUUAAGCGAGGAGGAGGCUACUUAGAUUAAUACUCUAGGAUAGUGGACGUUACUCGCAGAAUAAGCACCGGCUAACCCUGUGCCAGCAGCCGCGGUAAUACAGAGGGUGCGAGCGUUAAUCGGAUUUACUGGGCGUAAAGCGUGCGUAGGCGGCUUUUUAAGUCGGAUGUGAAAUCCCUGAGCUUAACUUAGGAAUUGCAUUCGAUACUGGGAAGCUAGAGUAUGGGAGAGGAUGGUAGAAUUCCAGGUGUAGCGGUGAAAUGCGUAGAGGUCUGGAGGAAUACCGAUGGCGAAAGCAGCCAUCUGGCCUAAUACUGACGCUGAGGUACGAAAGCAUGGGGAGCAAACAGGAUUAGAUACCCUGGUUAGUCCAUGCCGUAAACGAUGUCUACUAGCCGUUGGGCCCUUUGAGGCUUUAGUGGCGCAGCUAACGCG
This 805-nucleotide ribosomal RNA is filed under the name uncultured bacterium. Its description in RNAcentral is "bacterial SSU rRNA". It matches the Rfam family "Bacterial small subunit ribosomal RNA", at positions 60 to 859 of the family's 1533-position model. The record is from RNAcentral.